GCUCUUCGAGUGUUACCUGUGGGCGUGCGUGAGUCUUUAACGGGCCUCGCUGUUUGCAUGUUGGUGCUUUUUGGGUGUACUUUUUCGUAUGGUUGGCCAACGUCAGUUUCGUUCAUCAUAAAAUGAUCAGGGGAAUGUAGCUUCGAUCUCGUAUUGAAGUGUUAUAGACUUUGGUAGAUGUGGUGAUCGAGACUGAGGAUUGCAACGAAUACCCUUCGGGCUAUCCGUCUGACCUCUGAAAGUUGCCUAGGUGCCGAAAGCUUGCUUACGGUCGUCUAAGGUAGCGGUCAAAAGGUUAGAACGUGAUUACA
Molecule: ribosomal RNA, 311 nt
Filed under: uncultured Glomeromycotina
Lineage: Eukaryota; Fungi; Glomeromycota
Description: eukaryotic LSU rRNA
Source: RNAcentral